This is a long non-coding RNA of Ornithodoros turicata, 309 nucleotides long. RefSeq lists it as uncharacterized. NCBI's taxonomy places the organism in Eukaryota, Metazoa, Arthropoda, Arachnida, Ixodida, Argasidae. The record is from RefSeq and is a predicted model, not a curated record. The transcript is spliced from 2 exons.
UAGCGACCCUUUCCGCAGGCGCCGUUUCCGAGGUAGAAGCGCUGCAUCAUGGUGCCUUACAGCGUUCAAUCAGGGCUGCUGCCCAAGCUUUCGCUCCUUCGUCGCUGGGGGCUCCUGGCAUUGGUCGGCUCCGUAGGAAGACCUGCUACGAGCCAUAUGGUCCCGUUGUCGUACCCCGCAAGUGCUGACGGCACCGUGGAUGGCGCUCUUCAAGGGGUCACCGAUACGAGUGGUUCUUACACUUUCACCGUGAAAUAAAAAUGCAUUGCACGAGAUACGUUGGACAAAACUUCUCGCAUGCAGAACGUA